GAUGAACGCUGGCGGCGUGCUUAACACAUGCAAGUCGAACGAAGAUGCCGGAGUGCUUGCACUUUGGCAGACUGAGUGGCGGACGGGUGAGUAACGCGUGGGUAACCUGCCUUAUACAGGGGGAUAACAGUUGGAAACGACUGCUAAUACCGCAUAAGCGCACGGUUCCGCAUGGAACAGUGUGAAAAACUCCGGUGGUCUGGGAUGGACCCGCGUCCGAUUAGUUAGUUGGCGGGGCAACGGCCCACCAAGACCGCGAUCGGUAGCCGACCUGANAGGGUGACCGGCCACAUUGGGACUGAGACACGGCCCAGACUCCUACGGGAGGCAGCAGUGGGGAAUAUUGCACAAUGGAGGAAACUCUGAUGCAGCGACGCCGCGUGAGCGAAGAAGUAUUUCGGUAUGUAAAGCUCUAUCAGCAGGGAAGAUAAUGACGGUACCUGACUAAGAAGCACCGGCUAAAUACGUG
RNAcentral lists this ribosomal RNA (469 nucleotides) under uncultured bacterium. Its description in RNAcentral is "bacterial SSU rRNA". It matches the Rfam family "Bacterial small subunit ribosomal RNA", at positions 28 to 507 of the family's 1533-position model. The record is from RNAcentral.